UGGGGUCACGAAGGUAGUACUAAGAAUAAAGAUUAAAGGACUAAACAUGUUGAAUUAAUUGAGUUGGUUAAUUUGGAGUUAUAAAUCAUACAUGUUUGUCUCUUUAUUUAUGUGAAUUCCAGAACCAAGGAGGAGCUUAUAAAAGUGUUAGUCAAGUACCUUAAGAUGUUACCUUACUUUAAGAGUGAUGGUACAGUAUCACCUUGUGGAAGCUUUCCUUUCUUAGCGGUUGUGCAUCGUGUUUGUGGCACCCUCCAUGAAUCAUCUCUUAUGAGCUACGUCUUUCUUGUGCAAAUUGUUAAACUUCAUGUGUCACUUUCUUCAUCUCCAAUGAGUUUGC
Molecule: long non-coding RNA, 340 nt
Filed under: Sorghum bicolor (sorghum)
Lineage: Eukaryota; Viridiplantae; Streptophyta; Magnoliopsida; Poales; Poaceae
Description: long non-coding RNA (SBIC_LNC003035)
Source: RNAcentral